UUCACUGUUAAUAAAGACAUUUCAAAACAAAAUCUGUUCUUAUCAGUUUAAUAUCUGAUACCUCCUCUAUCAGGGGUCUAAAUAUUUAACAGAUUUUUGGAACAGGGAGUCAGAGAAGAAGCUUGCUCCAUCCACUCCAAGCAUUGAGUAUCCAAGUAUUGUAGUGCAUUCUAGAAUGGUGCGUCUCUC
Conger conger (European conger) is the source of this 189-nucleotide small nuclear RNA. RefSeq annotates it as U2 spliceosomal RNA. Lineage: Eukaryota; Metazoa; Chordata; Actinopteri; Anguilliformes; Congridae. The transcript has a single exon. The record is from RefSeq and is a predicted model, not a curated record.